AACAGCUAGUAUGCGUCAGGAACAUGACUCACAUGUUAACGUACCAAAAUUUUGAUAGAUGUGCGUACCUAACCUACAAUCAUCGAGUUCGCUAAUGUCCAAUGGGUUAAUAUAGAAUUCAAAGAUUGAAAGAACUCAGUAUAAAGAAUACUCUUCUUUAUUACUUUAGAAAACUAACUCAAAAACUAAAGCUCUCAUCUCUCAAUCUCAAACUCAUAACUUACGCAACAAUCUGACAUCUUCUUAUAUAGAGAUUUAUAACUCCUAAUCCUAUGAGGUAAUAUAUCUAGAUAACUCAUAAACAUGUUAGUAUUCCUAAUUUUCAUAACUUGGUAGGAUAAAGUUAAUAACUUAUAACUCAAGUUUCCUUUUUUUCAAGCUUAAUCCAAUAUUCUCCCCUC
RNAcentral lists this long non-coding RNA (401 nucleotides) under Brassica napus (rape). Its description in RNAcentral is "long non-coding RNA (BNAP_LNC021738)". Lineage: Eukaryota; Viridiplantae; Streptophyta; Magnoliopsida; Brassicales; Brassicaceae. The record is from RNAcentral.